UCACGCAUCGCGUCUCCCCCAUCCACCCCGUGUGGAGGGGAAGGAGGAUGGUCUCCCGCGGCUCACCGGUCGCGGCUGGCCUAAAAUCGGAGCCCUCGGCAUCGGGAUGCCGCGGCGAUAGGUGGUGAACAAGGCCUCGGCCAAGCAAGCAACCCGUCGCGCGUCGCGGUGCCAAUGUGAGCUCGAAGGACCCUUUGACGUUGCCUAACGGCAACAAAACCGUUGCGAC
RNAcentral lists this ribosomal RNA (229 nucleotides) under Silene cryptoneura. Lineage: Eukaryota; Viridiplantae; Streptophyta; Magnoliopsida; Caryophyllales; Caryophyllaceae. The record is from RNAcentral.